AACCUUUAGAGUUAAUUUUAAUUAAAGGCGUAUCCUGCUCAAUGAGAUUGAUUUAAAUGGCCGCAGUACACUGACUGUGCUAAGGUAGCAUAAUCAUUUGGCUUUUAAUUGGAGUCUAGUAUAAAAGGAAUGACUAAAGUUCAACUGUCUCUUAUGUAUUUCUUUUAAUUUGCUUAAUAGGUGAAAAUUCCUAUAUAUAAUCAAUAGACGAGAAGACCCUUAGACUUUUUUAUAAUUAAACAAUAAUUUAACUUAUUUUGUUGGGGCGACAAAGAUUCACAAGGAGAAACAAUCUUUUGAUUCAGAUUAUAGAUAUGUCAAGUUUUUCUUCUAAAAAUUAAAGUACCUAAGGGAUAACAGCAUAAUUAAAUUUUUAGAUUGUGACCUCGAUGUUGGACUAAGAAAUUAUUUAUUAAGAAAAUAAAUAAAAGGGUUCUGUUCGAACUUAUCUCUCUU
RNAcentral lists this ribosomal RNA (456 nucleotides) under Bothriembryon glauerti. RNAcentral's name for it is "partial 16S ribosomal RNA". The stretch from base 1 to 194 matches the Rfam family "Archaeal large subunit ribosomal RNA", at positions 1908 to 2143 of the family's 2987-position model. Lineage: Eukaryota; Metazoa; Mollusca; Gastropoda; Stylommatophora; Bulimulidae. The record is from RNAcentral.